RNAcentral lists this ribosomal RNA (134 nucleotides) under uncultured bacterium. Its description in RNAcentral is "partial 16S rRNA". It matches the Rfam family "Bacterial small subunit ribosomal RNA", at positions 338 to 474 of the family's 1533-position model. The record is from RNAcentral.
CCUACGGGAGGCAGCAGUGGGGAAUAUUGGACAAUGGGGGCAACCCUGAUCCAGCGAUGCCGCGUGAGUGAUGAAGGCCUUAGGGUUGUAAAACUCUUUCAGGUGGAAAUGAUAAUGACAGUACUCACCAGAAC